CAGUUUUGAGUUCUGUGCCCCCAUCCACCAUGAGCUGGGCUGAGACUAACAAAACUCAUUUCACUGGGUACAUUUCCGGCUGGGAAGAGAAAAUUGUCAUCAGUGCGGGUAACAUUCAAACUAGGCUUCCAAGUGAAAAAAAAACUAUUACACAGCUCCCAGUGAUCCAUUAAGUUUAAACUCUUCUUGCAGCCUCUUGGGUAAUGACAUUGCAGCUUGCAAACUAUUUUUAGAAUACUCUACAAGAAACCAGGACUUUUCUGCUCUGUUCGGUGCUGAGGGGAGGGAUUUGAGGAGUUGUUAUCCAGGACAGUCCCUGGGAGAUAAAGUGGACAAUGAAUGGAUGAAGUCCAAGAUAACAGUCAGGUGCUAUGAAUGAAAAUGAAGAUAGAAUAUUGAUCAU
Long non-coding RNA from Callorhinchus milii (elephant shark), 403 nucleotides. RefSeq lists it as uncharacterized. The transcript is spliced from 3 exons. The record is from RefSeq and is a predicted model, not a curated record. Lineage: Eukaryota; Metazoa; Chordata; Chondrichthyes; Chimaeriformes; Callorhinchidae.